UGGGGAAUAUUGCACAAUGGAGGAAACUCUGAUGCAGCGACGCCGCGUGAGUGAAGAAGUAUUUCGGUAUGUAAAGCUCUAUCAGCAGGGAAGAAGAAUGACGGUACCUGACUAAGAAGCACCGGCUAAAUACGUGCCAGCAGCCGCGGUAAUACGUAUGGUGCAAGCGUUAUCCGGAUUUACUGGGUGUAAAGGGAGCGCAGGCGGUACGGCAAGUCUGAUGUGAAAGCCCGGGGCUCAACCCCGGUACUGCAUUGGAAACUGUCGGACUAGAGUGUCGGAGGGGUAAGUGGAAUUCCUAGUGUAGCGGUGAAAUGCGUAGAUAUUAGGAGGAACACCAGUGGCGAAGGCGGCUUACUGGACGAUCACUGACGCUGAGGCUCGAAAGCGUGGGGAGCAAACAGGAUUAGAUACCCUGGUAGU
Molecule: ribosomal RNA, 423 nt
Filed under: uncultured Roseburia sp.
Lineage: Bacteria; Bacillati; Bacillota; Clostridia; Lachnospirales; Lachnospiraceae
Description: bacterial SSU rRNA
Rfam family: Bacterial small subunit ribosomal RNA
Source: RNAcentral